AGAGCGAACGCUGGCGGCAGGCUUAACACAUGCAAGUCGAGCGGGCGUAGCAAUACGUCAGCGGCAGACGGGUGAGUAACGCGUGGGAACAUACCUUUGGUUCGGAACAACACAGGGAAACUUGUGCUAAUACCGGAUAAGCCCUUACGGGGAAAGAUUUAUCGCCGAAAGAUUGGCCCGCGUCUGAUUAGCUAGUUGGUGAGGUAACGGCUCACCAAGGCGACGAUCAGUAGCUGGUCUGAGAGGAUGAUCAGCCACAUUGGGACUGAGACACGGCCCAAACUCCUACGGGAGGCAGCAGUGGGGAAUAUUGGACAAUGGGCGCAAGCCUGAUCCAGCCAUGCCGCGUGAGUGAUGAAGGCCCUAGGGUUGUAAAGCUCUUUUGUGCGGGAAGAUAAUGACGGUACCGCAAGAAUAAGCCCGGCUAACUUCGCGCCAGCAGCCGC
RNAcentral lists this ribosomal RNA (446 nucleotides) under uncultured bacterium. RNAcentral describes it as "SSU rRNA". It matches the Rfam family "Bacterial small subunit ribosomal RNA", at positions 26 to 518 of the family's 1533-position model. The record is from RNAcentral.